UGGGGAAUAUUGCACAAUGGGCGAAAGCCUGAUGCAGCAACGCCGCGUGAGUGAUGAAGGCCUUCGGGUUGUAAAGCUCUGUCUUUUGGGACGAUAAUGACGGUACCAAAGGAGGAAGCCACGGCUAACUACGUGCCAGCAGCCGCGGUAAUACGUAGGUGGCAAGCGUUGUCCGGAUUUACUGGGCGUAAAGGAUGCGUAGGCGGAUUUUUAAGUGAGAUGUGAAAACCCUAAGCUUAACUUGGGGACUGCAUUUCAUACUGGAAAUCUAGAGUGCGGGAGAGGAGAAUGGAAUUCCUAGUGUAGCGGUGAAAUGCGUAGAGAUUAGGAAGAACACCAGUGGCGAAGGCGAUUCUCUGGACCGUAACUGACGCUGAGGCAUGAAAAGCGUGGGGUAGCAAAACAGGAUUAGAUACCCUGGUAGUCCACGCCGUAAACGAUGAGUACUAGGUGUAGGAGGUAUCGACCCCUUCUGUGCCGCAGUUAACACAAUAAGUACUCCGCCUGGGAAGUACGAUCGCAAGAUUAAAAACUC
RNAcentral lists this ribosomal RNA (535 nucleotides) under uncultured bacterium. RNAcentral's name for it is "partial 16S ribosomal RNA". It matches the Rfam family "Bacterial small subunit ribosomal RNA", at positions 355 to 902 of the family's 1533-position model. The record is from RNAcentral.